Alligator mississippiensis (American alligator) is the source of this 5509-nucleotide long non-coding RNA. RefSeq lists it as uncharacterized. The record is from RefSeq and is a predicted model, not a curated record. Lineage: Eukaryota; Metazoa; Chordata; Crocodylia; Alligatoridae. The transcript has 3 exons.
AUGUAUUUUAAUUAUAAAAAAUGUUUUUAGUAAAAAAAGUCUAUUUUCAUCACAGGUCAAUAAGAGUGCAUUGGGCUUUCCUUUUUUUUUUCUUCAAUGAUACAAGUGUUUUCUGAAGAAUGAAUUUUAGAUGACUUAAAUAUAAUCAAACAUAGAAUUGUUUCUCCACAUGUACUUUCUUUAAAGAAACUGCUUGUUUCUGGUAAAAACACUUCCACUGUGAAGUGGGGGAUAGGUUUGACAAAGUCUGUUUAAGAAUGACCUAUAGCCGGGUUCAUUAAUGUAAACCACUUAUCAAAUAAUUGCAACCAAUGAAAAUACAAACCUGUUACAGAUAAUUGAGAAAUAGAAAAAAAGUGUUUCAAUUUUUCAUCUAAAUUGAUUGCAGAGCAUUUUGUGAAAAGCACCUGUCCACAGUUCUUAAUUUGCACUUUAAUGGACUGAUUUCACUUUUAAAGUUUGAGGGCCCAGGUGCUUGAUGGGGUAUCUGCAAAAGCUGGGUGAUCUGUUCACUCUAUAACAUGUACAGUUUCACUCUCCUCCUGCUUGAACCAACAACAACAACAACAAAAUACCAACACCCACAAACUUUUCCUUUGGCUGCUCCUGUGGUUCCUCCAGCAUGACUACUCAUACCACACCCUAUAUCUUCUGUUUCCAAAGAAUCCCUCCAAAUUUCCUUAUGGCCUGAGUCAGGAGAACCAAUAUAGUCCGUUUCCAAUACGGUCAACACCUGCUAAUGAUAUAGGUUGUUUCAAUCAAACACUCCCAAACUGUUCCAAGACUUUAUGUCCUGACUUUUGUGUUGUUUAAAAGCAAAGUAGAAUGUUGGAUUAUGUGUGUUUGCUUUUUGGUGUGGUUUGUGAUGUGUCUGGUAAUGGGCACAUGGAUGAGGUAUGAAGGGUCAUGGAAUAUCAACCUCUUCUUCAGAGAUUCUGAUGGUAUGUGCUGUCAGUGGGAAUAUCAUAGGUCUCUAGAAGGUUAAUCCUGUUCCCAAGAAUAGAAACUGGAGAUCAGAGUGGAGAAUAUCCUCCAUAUGACCAUUUUAAGCACCACUGCGAAGCACCUCAGGAAUGAAAUUUCGUGAUGAUUCUGCAGGGGAUUUUUGCAAGACUCGUUUAAAAAUGGUUAAAGAUGACAGCUGGAAAUGAUGGAUAAGAGUCCUGAGAAUGCCCUUCUGCCUUACCCUAGUGAAGGUUUAUCAGGUGGGUGUCUCACUGCCUUCUGUUCUUCUCACUUGGACUCAUUAACCUUUGGAGACGGAAAAACCCAUUUAAUCCAUCUUGCUGGGUACCACUUUAGGAGUGCUCCCAGCAGUACUUUUUCAGUAUUUUGUCAAGUCAGGUUACUACAUUUAUCAUCAUUUGAAAAGCUGUCAUGAAAUGCUCAAAGAAAGGAUACAGAAGAAACAAUGGCUUAGUUCUCACAUGAAGAUUUGGCCUCAUUCCCAGGCACGAGGCCAAUGGUCAGAGAUUCAUUUCUGUGGCAAUCUAGCCCUGUUCAGUGUUUGUUUUCUUCCUCUUUCCUAUCCCCCUAAUAUAUCACCUCAUAGGAAGUAUAGGGGGGAAUCUGGUGUGACUCCAGAUCAAGCAAAGUUAGACAAUGCCUUCAGUGCCAUGGAGCCUGCAGCUGAGUCAGUUUGUGGUAGGGUAUCGCUGUGGGGCUCUGAAUACUACCCAGGAGUCAAAAUUCAGAACAUAUGGAAAUCCAGCAGAUGAUAUACCCUCCUGGGAUGAAAGGAAUGAAGUGUCUGCUUAAUCACAUGGACUCUUACAAAAAGCAAAAUAAAAAAGUUGUUUGUGUGUCCAGAGAGAUUUGAGAUCAGUCUACACUGAAAGGAUCCUGCUGAAGAGAGAGAGAUGUUAUGGUAACUCUUCUGUUGGGUGAGUCUGCUCUGAUUUAUCUGAGUUCUCUUUCACUUGUGUGGGGAAUAGGGGCUGGGGAAAGCAAAAUUCCUGGAGUGGAAGAAGCUGGUGUGUGUAUGUGUGUAUAAAACCACAAUGGAAACUUCCUUGUUUUGCCUCAGAGCCAGCUUUUUGUUAAUCACUGGCUGAUCCUUGCUGGACAAGUCUGUCCAGAUUACAAGAGUGUAUGUUUUCAUGCCAGAGAUUCUAUAUACCAGUAAGUGUAUCUGUCAGGUUGUAGGGGUGUGUAUAUGAGACAGAGAGCGAGAGAGAGACAGCCUGAGGGAGAUGAUAUUACUGAAGCAUGGCACAAAAGAUGUGUGCAUCAGAGACUGUGUAUCCAAGUAUGAUUGUUGUGCAUUUUAGUGUGUGACUGGGUCCUUGUCACAUUGCACUUUGGUACUGAGAGAUCAGCUGAAUUAUACGCUAGAUAGGUGGCUAAAUUUUGCUCUGCUUCACCAAUGUAAAUUUGUCAUGAGUCUUUUGAGUUUAAAGUUGUGCCAGCACAAACAUUUUUCCCAAGCCAACAAACUGGGUACAAACUGUGUAUGCAGCAGGCUAACCCUAUGGACCAAUUACAUUAACAUAUUUGUAAGUCUGGAGUGAAACCAUUAAUGGAGAUAGUGAUGUCAGCAUAAAGGUGUCUUUAUACUGAGAUAGUUUCUUUCGUUUACUGUAUGGAAAUUGCUAUCCCAGUACAAAAGCAUUGGGAUAGGGUGUCACAAUGGAUCCCCCUCUUCAAAGAACACAAGCAGUGCUGUGCAGGGUGGCCCAGCCACUUGACCCCUGACCCAGGUGAGGAUGGGCAAAGAGGAGAAACAGGCCACUCCAACCUCAUCAGAUGAGUGGUUGGCUAGAGAGAGGACAGAAAACACACCUCUUGCUUGCUGCUGCCAGGUCUCUUCAGAUUAGAGAAUGAAAUAGUUAUUCAAGCAGGGCAUGAGUGGAGUAUGAGCUCAAGGCUGGAAAUAGGCCCAGGGAGCAACUUAAGUGUGUGGCUGUUCUGAAUACCCUAUGGAAGGUGGUAUCUAGAUGAAGGGACACCAGAGGGGCACUGCGGUUAAUGUGUUUGCUGUUUCAGCUGAUAAAAAGGUAAGUGGAUGAGUGAUUUUUGGGUGAACUCUUCCACAAAGCCUGUAAAAGGGGUCUCCAUCUUGGGGCAGAGAAUAGAACAGGAACCACCUAGCAUCAAGAGGAAUUCCACCCACACAUACCAUUUAACUACACUGACAUACAGUGCAAAUUUUAAGCUUGGGGAGUCAAAUUCAUGUGUGAUGUAAUGUGAAGCCAGUAGAGUUGCACCAAGGAUGAAUUUGUUGCAAAGAGUCUGAGACAAUGCUGUAUAUCUGAAGGGUGUUUGUAUGUGUGUAAGGUUAUGACUUUGUGUGUAUUGCACACAAGUGACUUCCACGCCAUGCCGAUGGAUGAUGACAAAGAGAAAUUGCUUGAGUUCUCCACAUGGAAUAAGAACACUCUCUUUGUCCUGGAUAUUCCCCAUCCGGUGUCCUUCACAGGAUCAAAACUCCUGUGCUCAGAAUAGCACUAGUCAAAUAUUUCAAAGGUUACCAUUUUCAACUUUAAGGAAAAAACCCAGAAAAAAUAGACUAAACUUUCAUGAAUUUCUUUUCCAAACACUUUAACAACUAUUGAGCUGAUCAAAAUGUGUCUAAUUUCACCACAUUUAGGAUUUUUAUAGAUGAGAGAUUUUUACUUAUUCUCUUUCCAAAUCACUAAAUUUCCCUCAUUGUUUUGUCUAGCUCUAGUCUGUGCUACUAGUCAAUGCUGUUAUCUAUGAGUUGCUGGAAGACCAUGGAGCUUGGAAUACUGUUAAUGGGGUGAGUUGAUCAUAUUGACAACAUCAAUCUCAUUUUGCUUCCUUUGAAGGGUUGUUGAUGGCCUCAGCUUAGCAGAAAAACUCAACAGCUCAACAGCUGGGCCCCUGGAAAAUGAAGAUUCAAAGACUGGCCCUGGCACAUUCUCUCCUCUUCCAAUGUCCAGUCUGGCCCUCUUGGUGAGCAGAAUGAAUCAGCCUCAACUGGGUUCUGUGCCCUCUGCAAAGCUACAGAAUGCUAGAGCUGAGCAAAAUUUAAAUGAAUGAUCUGAAGGAUGCGCUUGGCUUUGCAACUGUUGUUUUCAAAGAGUCUGUGCAAUUCUCAAGCUUAUUCAAAACAUGCUGAUGAAGACAUUUCCUAGGAGUAUUAGGCCUGAAGAGACUUGGUGAACAGACUGCGGUAACUGUUGCUCAUGCUUGGUCAGAAGCCACAUGGUUUUGUCUCCCCAGCUGCAUGGCGAAUGCAGUUACCCAACUCAAAGUGAACUUUGAUGUCUGCAUAUGAAUAGGAAGUUUUAAGUUCUCAAGCAUAACAUUCACUCUUUGCAAUCAGAAGCUCAAGCACUCAGAUGUUGGCAGCAGAUACACAAAACACAAUCAUACAGAAAUUCAUUUUCAGAUUCCAACAAAUAUUAAGUCUUCCUUUCCUGCUCUUUGUUUAACAAUUGUAAUGAAUUUGAAUCAUUACUCUUUGUUUAACAAUUGUAAUGAAUUUGAAUCAUUAGCAACCCAUGUUGGAUUGGCACUAGUCACUUAGCAUAUGAGGGCACGUCCACACAUGCAGGCAUGUGUGCUUGCAGCAGCUCAAAUAGAAGUGGGGCAAAUUUGAGCCAGGGCUUUUUGCUUCAGUGCACGUUCCUGGACAUGCACUUUGGUGUGGGGCAAAUUGUGUCACUUGCGGCAAAAUAACUCUGCCUGGCUCCUCCCAGAUCUGCAGCCAGGGGGAGUUAGAGACUGGGGUCAGCACCUGUACUGGCCCCAGCAGUAUAAAAACCUGCCCUGUGCUUCUGGAGCAUCUGGGGCCCAGCCAGUUGGUACCUGGGGACACUACCCACUACCCCUUGUGCCAGCUGGACUGCUGAAGCAACCCUGAAUGUUCCCUACACACUUUACCCACUGCAGUAGUCUGGCAGUGGGGGCUGCUGCCUAGCUGUGACCUGCUGCCACCUGCAACAGCAUGUGGCCUCAAGGCUGCAUGCCUGCCAGACCCAGAUGGGGACUGCAUGGCCAUUAGAGGCAUCUGCACCUCUGGGAAAGCUGCCAGUAGGCUGUGUCUGUACAGUUGGCCCUUGUUUGACACUGCUGCCAUGUGUGCCACUGCCCAGCCAUCUGGGCAGCUAACGCCCGGAAGAUUUUCAAAGUGUGGUGGCCUGCUUUGAACUGUCAAAGCAUGUCCUGGCCCCAAGCAGCCAGGAGGUCAGCCACCACCAGCUGAGUCCUGGGUGCCAGCUCUGAGCAGGCUCCUUGCCUGGGUCCUGCCACUUGCCUCACUAGCAGGAAUUCUAGUGUUCUCUAUUUAAAAACUGGAAUUCCCAAAGUCACUUUUUAAAAUACCCCAACAUCCAUGUUCUUCCACAAGUAAAUAAAAGACCACUAUAUAUAUAUAUAUAUAUAUAUAUAUAUAUAUAUACAUACACAUAGAGAGAGAGAGAGAGAAAUCAAAUCAGUUAGGCAAUGUUUUAUUGAUAUAUUUACAAUUUUAAAGCAAUUUGGAAACAUACCAGUCAUAAGUCAUAAUUUGGAAGCCUACCAGCCUCUAUCAUUAUAAUAAAAU